UGUAUAACCUGCAUUCGGGGUCCCCUCCUGACUAGCAGGGGGGCACCACGCUCGAGCGUAAUAAACUUAGUAUAUUUGGGAACUCUGCAGUUGUGGACUCUGUUUGUGUGCCUCAGCCUAGACUGGAACUGUGCGUGACCUGUUAGGUAUAAUUUGUAGCAGUUCCUGUGCAUGACCUAUCAGGUAUAAUUCGUAACAGUUUUUGUGCGUGACCUAUCAGGUAUAAUUCACAACAGUUUUUGGCGACCCAGAUGGGACGCUAGUCUCGCCCCGACGAGCGAGACCACACUCCUCCUCUCGGACAGCUCCAGCCGGCACAGGAAAAUCAGAGGAAACUGAUGCCAGCUGAAAAGCAAUUCAACAUAUCAUGAAUUUACUGGCACAAUAGGAAUUAUGUUCUGUGUUCUAUGUUCUGUCUUAUGUUUGUCUUGUGGCCAGAAUUACUGGGUCUAAUUUUUCAUAGGACAGUUUAAUUUAAAACUAAAUAGAAGGGUUAAAUCAAAAUGCAGAUACUUGUUUUAUUCAACUUGGAAUACAAAAUGUUUGGAUAAUAUCAGGAAAAUGUGAUAUACUAAAGUUUAAUAUAUUUGCUUAAGUAAAAAAAAUAAAUUUCAUUGGCCAGAUCUUUUAAUUGAAAAAAUUGUUGUUAAAAUUCACACACCAACAGUUUUUGGAAGCAAGGACAUGAAAGGUUAACCCACUCCCCAUAUUACACAUGGAAUCCUUCUGGCUACCUCAAAUUUCUAGCCAGAAGGCUGGGGAGGGAGGAAAGCUAUUGGAUACCAGAGAUUGUACCAAGUGGACUCCUCAAAAGUGGGUGUGCUUGUCCUGGCUUGUUGCUCCAAAGCUCUGUAAUAAAAUCAUUUUACAAGAAGGGUGUAUGUGGCAUACAUUAAAUAAUAAGACUAAAGUGCUGUAUAAUGGGCAAUGUAUAUGUGUUCAUUUUUGAACAAAGGUGUGUGAGUAGAAAGUGAACGUUUCCUUUACAGGUUAAUAGAAACCAAGAAGGGAAGAAGAAAAAGAAUGGAGGACAAGUUAAUUCAACGCUGUAGCUGGCAGGCUCGGUCCAAAGAUAAGACACUGGUCUGCCCAAGGACACUACUCACAGCUAGGAUUUGGCUGACAGCCAAGAAAGAGGGGGGCUUGAAUGUGUCCAAGCAGCUGUGAGAUCUGGAAAACACUGCCAGACAUUAAUGAAAUGUGUUAGGUCUCUGUAUUUACAGGUAAAAGAAGUCCUGCUCCAAGGAUCCUGAGCAAACCUGCCAUUUGUUAAAAACUGGGUCUACAUAAAGGUCCAUCAAUGAAAGACUACCCUGGCCCCAUGCUGGAAAGGCCCUUAUUAAGUCCUGCUAACUACCAACACCGCUGUGAAGUACCAAGGACUGACUGCCUGGACCCAUGCUUCUUAUUGCAAAAAGACCCCUCCACCUCGAGAUGACUUCACUUCGACUACUGAUCAGCCUAUCCCUCCUUCUGAGUUUUUUCUUUCCUCCUUUUGGACAGCAGGGGAAAGGACAAGGUGAAGUGCUAGUAACCUCUCCCUUGUCCACUGACAGAGCUAACCUGCAUUCAGUAUUUGCUAAAGAAACCAAAGCUCUACAGGGUGACGUGCUAGUAACCUCUCCCCUGUAUAAUGCAAAAUCACGACUGUUCCAAAA
Long non-coding RNA from Dermochelys coriacea (leatherback sea turtle), 1658 nucleotides. RefSeq lists it as uncharacterized. The record is from RefSeq and is a predicted model, not a curated record. Lineage: Eukaryota; Metazoa; Chordata; Testudines; Dermochelyidae. The transcript has 2 exons.